UUAGGAGACCAGCUUAGUAGUGUGCUCCCUUCUCUUCAUAGGUUUCCCCUGCCGGAUCUUGCCGGCGGCGAGUCCAUACUAGGCAACGAACCCACUCAAACUCUAGUCUGCACGCCCGCUGAGUCCAGCAUCGAUGAUGCGGGUGAUGCAGCGCUGACAGUACAACUAGAUGUAAACAGUACUUGCGAGGAUGCGAUCCUGUCGGCGCCGAAAUCAGAGCAAUCAACUGGCAAAGACGAUCCUCAGAAGCCUAGAUUGACCAGGAGAUCAGUGCAGGGCGAUGGAAGUAGCAAUAGAGAAAGUGAUGCCAGACACGACUCACCGUUGAUGCUAGUGGCACGUGCAAUUGGUCAUUUCAUGGGGCUAAAAGCUCCAGAACAAAAACAAAAGCCUGGUCGACCAAUCACCAGCAGGAGAGUUAUUUGCCCAAAACCACCACAUUAUGAGCUAGGGUAA
Molecule: ribosomal RNA, 456 nt
Filed under: Triticum aestivum (bread wheat)
Lineage: Eukaryota; Viridiplantae; Streptophyta; Magnoliopsida; Poales; Poaceae
Description: partial small subunit ribosomal RNA
Source: RNAcentral